GGUGUUUCAGUCACAUCACAUGAACAGCUCUCUUCGACACUUUCUCCAAAUGAAUCCAUGCAGCCUGGCUGAUCUGGGAGAGAUUUUGGGCAUUUGCAAGGUUUUGAGUCAUGAAGUGUGAUCACUCUGCGAUCUGACAGCGGUCGAUGAGGCUGGAUUGGCGUGGAGGUGGAUUUCUGGGAAGUCUUGAUGUAAGAAGUUCAACUCCAGCAGCUGCUUUUGUAAUGGAAGAGCAAUCAGAACAGGCGUAGCAGCCCUUUUUGCUGCUUUCACGGAUGAGGAACGCUCCAUCUGGCUUCCCAAGCAGCAGCUCCUCCGCCUGCGUCCUGUUCAGGUCCCCGACAAACCAGCUCUUCUCAUCGUAGUGGGAACAUUCUGGACUGUGUUCACUUCAGAAAAUACCAGACAACAUGCACAUGGAUGACAGAAGAGGCAGCGACAGGGGAAUUCCACGACGCACAGGGGGAGGAGAAUGAGGACAGCAGACGAUAUUCAAUAUGGUGUUAUGUGUGCGUGCAUAUAUGAGUGAUUUCUCUUUGUGCAGUAACAUGAUCAUUACUCACUGGCCCAGUGAGUGUCACUUAUCACUUCACUCACUGGCCCAUGCUAUAAUGUGUCACUGUUAACACUGAACCUAAUGACCCAAACCCUACUGUGUGCUGCUACAGACACACAGACUGGAUAGAGAAGCCACCUCCUAUCCAUUUUAAUGAAGUGAUUGUGAAAAAUGCUUUUUUUCUCUCUUUAGUGUCUAUGUAAGAUUAAAUAUCCUUGUUGCCCUUGCUAUCUACGGCAUCCUUAAAAAAAAACAAACAAACACCUGUUAGUAUGUAAUGUAUAUGGAUGAAGUUUGAUAGCCUAUUUCUAUAAA
This is a long non-coding RNA of Myripristis murdjan (pinecone soldierfish), 871 nucleotides long. RefSeq lists it as uncharacterized. The record is from RefSeq and is a predicted model, not a curated record. Lineage: Eukaryota; Metazoa; Chordata; Actinopteri; Holocentriformes; Holocentridae. The transcript is spliced from 5 exons.